UUCUACAGCCAUAUCACCCUGCAGCCCAAGACUGGUUGCCCACUGAAGCUAAGCAUGGUUGAGCCUGGUUAGUACCUGGAUGGGAGACCUCCUGGGAAAACUAGGUUGCUGUUGGAA
This 117-nucleotide ribosomal RNA is filed under the name Sinocyclocheilus grahami. The record is from RNAcentral. Lineage: Eukaryota; Metazoa; Chordata; Actinopteri; Cypriniformes; Cyprinidae.